This 493-nucleotide ribosomal RNA is filed under the name uncultured bacterium. RNAcentral describes it as "bacterial SSU rRNA". It matches the Rfam family "Bacterial small subunit ribosomal RNA", at positions 30 to 509 of the family's 1533-position model. The record is from RNAcentral.
UGAACGCUAGCUACAGGGCUUAACACAUGCAAGUCGAGGGGCAGCAGGUAUCUAGCUUGCUAGAUAUGCUGGCGACCGGCGCACGGGUGCGUAACACGUAUCCAAUCUACCCAUGGCUCGGGGAAUAGCCUUUUCGAAAGAAAGAUUAAUGCCCGAUGGCCUUACUUGGAGACAUCUCCUGGUAAGUAAAGAUUUAUCGGCGAUGGAUGAGGAUGCGUCCGAUUAGCUUGUUGGCGGGGCAACGGCCCACCAAGGCGACGAUCGGUAGGGGUUCUGAGAGGAAGGUCCCCCACACUGGAACUGAGACACGGUCCAGACUCCUACGGGAGGCAGCAGUGAGGAAUAUUGGUCAAUGGUCGAGAGACUGAACCAGCCAAGUAGCGUGAGGGACGACGGCCCUACGGGUUGUAAACCUCUUUUGUUUGGGAAUAAAGUCACCCACGUGUGGGUGUUUGUAUGUACCAUACGAAUAAGCAUCGGCUAAUUCCGUGCC